ACCGGUAGCUCAGGGGUUAGAGCGGUGGCCUUAUAAGCCAUGUGUCGAUGGUUCAAUUCCAUCUCGGU
This 68-nucleotide transfer RNA is filed under the name bovine gut metagenome. It matches the Rfam family "tRNA". Rfam says of the family: Transfer RNA (tRNA) molecules are approximately 80 nucleotides in length. Their secondary structure includes four short double-helical elements and three loops (D, anti-codon, and T loops). Further hydrogen bonds mediate the characteristic L-shaped molecular structure. tRNAs have two regions of fundamental functional importance: the anti-codon, which is responsible for specific mRNA codon recognition, and the 3' end, to which the tRNAs corresponding amino acid is attached (by aminoacyl-tRNA synthetases). tRNAs cope with the degeneracy of the genetic code in two manners: having more than one tRNA (with a specific anti-codon) for a particular amino acid; and 'wobble' base-pairing, i.e. permitting non-standard base-pairing at the 3rd anti-codon position. The record is from RNAcentral.